This 483-nucleotide ribosomal RNA is filed under the name uncultured bacterium. RNAcentral describes it as "partial 16S ribosomal RNA". It matches the Rfam family "Bacterial small subunit ribosomal RNA", at positions 30 to 507 of the family's 1533-position model. The record is from RNAcentral.
AUUGAACGCUGGCGGAAUGCUUUACACAUGCAAGUCGAGCGGCAGCGCGGCCUUCGGGCUGGCGGCGAGCGGCGAACGGGUGAGUAAUGCAUCGAACAUGCCCAGUCGUGUGGGAUAACACUUCGAAAGAAGUGCUAAUACCGCAUACGUCCUGAGGGGGAAAGCGGGGGAUCGCAAGACCUCGCGCGAUUGGAGUGGCCGAUGUCGGAUUAGCUAGUUGGUGGGGUAAAGGCCUACCAAGGCGACGAUCUGUAGCUGGUCUGAGAGGAUGAUCAGCCACACUGGAACUGAGACACGGCCCAGACUCCUACGGGAGGCAGCAGUGGGGAAUUUUGGACAAUGGGCGCAAGCCUGAUCCAGCCAUGCCGCGUGAGUGAAGAAGGCCUUCGGGUUGUAAAGCUCUUUUGGCAGGAAAGAAACGGUGGGCUCUAACAUAGUCCGCUAAUGACGGUACCUAAAGAAGAAGCACCGGCUAACUACGUG